Molecule: long non-coding RNA, 1352 nt
Organism: Pan troglodytes (chimpanzee)
Lineage: Eukaryota; Metazoa; Chordata; Mammalia; Primates; Hominidae
Exons: 4
Source: RefSeq, a predicted model, not a curated record
AGUGCAAUUGUCAUCUAGGUGAGGAGCUAGAUUUCUGGUAGUUCCAUUUCUGCCAUCUUCCUAGAAUCCUCACCUGUGGUUGUUUUUAAAGUUCUCUUUUUCCUUAAUUUCUUAGGCAUCAAUCUAAUUAUGUACUGUGGAUAACUCAAUUUUCUGUAUUUUGGGAGUGACUUGAAUGAUUUAAUAAUUUGAAUAUAACCUUAAUGGAAGUUUAUGUUAGUGAAGCUUUCAUUUAAUUUCUGAAAUAAUUGUUUUUACACAUAUAUAUAUAUCCAAUUCCAUUAAGAAGCUGACAAUCUAGAGUGGACUCCUUAAUUAACCAGAAGAUUGUUAAUUUAAUGAGUGUAAGUCCAGGAUUUUAAAAAGGAUGUGGAGUAGAAGAGACAUGAGAUGCUAUACCUAGACUGCUACCAUCCGUCCAGCGUUCAUCCUCAUCGAAGUGAGCAUCUCCUCCGAGACCUGUCCCAGGCGCAAAGGCAUGAGCCAGCGUGUUUCCUGGCCCAUCAAAUGGGAUUUUAAUCUUCAUAAGAAAAGAGCACUGAUAUAAACCAUGAACAAACAAAACAGGACACAGGAUUAGCCUACAGGAAUCUUUCUUACCUCCUCGCGCAAAGCCAAUCAUGAUGUCAGCAGUUCCCCGUACAACUUUCCUGAAAUGCAGGGGGAUCUCUUUGCCCCACAUGUUUAAAGCCUUUGACACUAAUCGAUCCACUGUAAUAUGCGAGUCUACAGAACUUUGAAAGUAUGUGUUAUUUUUCAUUAACUAAAACGAGGAAGUAUUACAUCGUUAUUGGCAGGAAGCACACAAUGUAUUUGUCUUUCAAAGGAUUUUUUUUUCUGUCUGCUGCAUAAAUUGACUCCAUGAGAAACCUCAUUUUUUUGCCAAAGUCAAAUGACUGCUCUCAUAGGUAUCAUUCAGGACGUUAUGGUACCAUAUAUUCUUAAAGAAUAAUAUAUAUUCUUAAAUAUAUAUUCUUAACAAUUAAAAGGUUUGGAAAAGUGCACAAAACAUGUAAAUAAUGAAAUAAUAAUUAAGCAAAUACUGUAACCGUCACCAAAGUCAAGAAAUAGAACAUCACCAAAAUCCUGUGGUUCUCCAUACAGGGGAAAGAUGGCAGGAGGCAGAUGGAAAUGCUGCUAUGUGGCUGGAUUAGUGGCCACCCUAUAUACAACUGUGCUGUGUCCCCUCACCUUCCACGUCCCUUAGCAGAGCAGUGAUAAUUCCCUUCUUUGGGUCUCCUUUUAAUCAGUUUAUGUCUUUUCUUAAUGGGGAACACUGCCUCUAAUUCUUCUUGAAUUAAACACGAAAAAAUACCAAGCCAAUAAAAAUCUACAAGCACGGGCUUAACUGU